ACGGGUGAGUAACACGUAGGCAACCUGCCUGCAAGCCUGGGAUAACUGCGGGAAACCGCAGCUAAUACCGGAUACGCAGUCGAGAUGCAUAUCUUGACUGGGAAAGGCGGAGCAAUCUGUCGCUUGUAGAUGGGCCUGCGGCGCAUUAGCUAGUUGGUGAGGUAACGGCUCACCAAGGCGACGAUGCGUAGCCGACCUGAGAGGGUGAUCGGCCACACUGGGACUGAGACACGGCCCAGACUCCUACGGGAGGCAGCAGUAGGGAAUCUUCCGCAAUGGACGCAAGUCUGACGGAGCAACGCCGCGUGAGUGAGGAAGGCCUUCGGGUCGUAAAGCUCUGUUGCCAGGGAAGAAUGUCGAGGAGAGUAACUGCUCUUCGAAUGACGGUACCUGAGAAGAAAGCCCCGGCUAACUACGUGCCAGCAGCCGCGGUAAUACGUAGGGGGCAAGCGUUGUCCGGAAUUAUUGGGCGUAAAGCGCGCGCAGGCGGCUUUGUAAGUCUGGUGUUUAAACCCGAAGCUCAACUUCGGGUCGCAUUGGAAACUGCAAGGCUUGAGUGCAGAAGAGGAAAGUGGAAUUC
Molecule: ribosomal RNA, 580 nt
Filed under: uncultured bacterium
Lineage: Bacteria
Description: bacterial SSU rRNA
Rfam family: Bacterial small subunit ribosomal RNA
Source: RNAcentral